UUGAAUAUUUUUAAUCAGAUAUAAGAUAUAAUAUAAUAUAAAUAAUAUCAAACAAACUGCACAAAAUAUUUUGCUUUUAUCUUCUUUUAUACAUCUUUUAAAAUUUACUUUUCAUAUUAUUUGUACAUACUUAAAUGUGAUUUAUGAAAAGAUAAAAAAUUCCAAGAAAAAUAUAUGCUUUAUAAAUGCAACAUUAAAAAUAAAAUAUCUCUUAUAGAUUAAAAAAUAAUUUACUAAUAGAAAUAAGAAAUCAUUAAAACGUUUAAAAAGAUUUCUAAUUGUAUCGCUAUACAUCUAUAAACUUAACAAGUAUUUUAUAUAAAAGGAUUAAUUUUUCAUAGAUUCUUCAAAUCUUUAUAAAAUCAACUGUCUAUUAUUCUUGAUCCAGCCACGCUUUCAGUAGUAUCGUUGCGCCAUCUAUAUCGUGCAUCAAUAAAGCAGAAAUUGCUGAUGCGGUUCAUAUAUGGCAAAGAUAUAAAUGUCAAUAAGUUAGGAAACUUUAAAAAAAAUUUUUUUCUCCGAAAGAGCUAUUAUGAAAUAAAUAUCCAGAACAACUACAAUAGUGUACAGUAGUGCUGUCAUGAUAAGAGUACAAAUUAUUAUUACAGUGUGUCGCUUAAGUCAGUUGUUAUUAUAGUCAAAAUAAAAAAUUUUGAACGGAAUUAUAUAUAUAAUAUACAAUUAGAUAUAAAAAUUUCUGUUAUAUUUCUAGUUAUAAUAAUGAGUGUACUCUAAAAGUAUAUUUUCUAGUAUACAAAUAUUGUUUUCGUCUUUAGGAUUAUAGUAAUUGGUUUAAUUAUGAUACCAAUUGAAUUUUUUUCAGUUUACAGGAGUAAGAAAAAUGACGAAGAAGUGGAAAUGUAUUUUUAUGAAACAAUUCAAAAAUGGAAUUUCCUGAAUCUAACAUAUUAUAAUCGUAAUUCUAAAAUAUAAAAGAAACUGUUAAUUUUUUUAUUUUCUCAAUUGCUCAUUGAUCAUUUUUAAAAUAUGUAGAGAGGUAAGAUAUUGUUCCUACAAUAUAUACUGGAACAUAAGACACAUAAGUUAUAAACAUUUAAAUAAUAUUUGUAUAACAAUUUUAUUGUUAGAUUAACAAUAUUAUAAAAUAAAUAUUAUAUAAAUAUUAUACAAAGAUUUUUUGAAGGCAUUUGUUUGGUCAAGUGUUCUAAAGGUCAAUUGCUAUAAUCAACUUAUGAGCACAGAUUAUUACACAGAAAAAACUAUUACGUUCACAGUAUAUUAUGAACAUAGAUAGAAAAAAUAUAAUACGCAUUCAUGGUCUUUGUCAAAUAAUUCAAAUUUUUGUGGUGAUAUUAAUUCUAGAAUGUAAAAAUAAUUUUAGAUUUGUUAUUGCCACUUUUACCUAACAUCUAAACACGUUAUAUUAACAAUUUUGCUACAGGAAGUUUUCCUUAAUUAUUCAAAAUUUCCUAAAGUAUACAAAAUUAAUAAAUACUGGUGCUAAAAAUUAAUAAAUAUUA
This is a long non-coding RNA of Vespula vulgaris, 1481 nucleotides long. RefSeq lists it as uncharacterized. The transcript has 2 exons. NCBI's taxonomy places the organism in Eukaryota, Metazoa, Arthropoda, Insecta, Hymenoptera, Vespidae. The record is from RefSeq and is a predicted model, not a curated record.